GCCACGGUGGUCUAGCGGUUAGAACGCUGGUCUUGUAAUCCUGGGGUCUCGGGUUCGAUUCCCGGCGGUGCCC
Non-coding RNA from Zootermopsis nevadensis, 73 nucleotides. The record is from Rfam. NCBI's taxonomy places the organism in Eukaryota, Metazoa, Arthropoda, Insecta, Blattodea, Termopsidae.